UGUAAGUCAUAAGACGGUCGGAAGCGGACUGAACCACUGGGAGUAUUAUUGUGCAAUAGAGUCGACCGUCUGGGCGAAUUAU
This 82-nucleotide non-coding RNA is filed under the name unclassified sequences. The record is from RNAcentral.